CUCGAAUCAUUUCUUGGUCUAGCAUCUCCAUGCUGUGGAGGAUACCCGCCCCCUUAGUAGCUGUCUUGGUGAUCAGAUUGACCGUCGAGGCACUGCAGUGCUUGUCCUCAGAACAAGAACCCAGAGCCCACCAAAGGACUGGCGUGAAAGGAGCUGUAGCACUGUAUCCGUCCCACCCUCCACUGGCACCGGAUGGCUGCCCCACAUGACAGGAAGUGUUGGUGUGACCAGACCAGCAGCCCAGGAGCCAUGGGCUAGAGUGGGGCAUUGGGACCGAAUGAGCGGUAACAUGAACAAGCUGAAACACAUUCCUGCCCAGCCUGCCAAGCUGUGGGCAGUGACACGCUCUUAUUUGCCAGACUACAAGAGAAGAUCUGUGACCCUUCUGGGGGCCCAUACCUUGGGGCUCCCCAAGCCAGAGCUGUGACAUGCUGUAACACCCUCUUGCAGCUCCACGGUUGCUGGUGUCUUUGAGUUUUCAGGCACCACGGCGUUCCCCUUGUUGGGAUGCCAGUGCCCAAGGUGGAAGCCACUUGAGGCAUACCUGGUCCAGCCACAGCCUCACAUGGUUCUGACACCUGGAGCUGCCUGCCCUUCUGCAGCAGCUGGUGCACCUGGCUCUGUGGUGUGGCUGGACCCUGUGCUCACUCACACACCUCCCACUACUCCGCGCCUGGCUCACCCAUGAUGGGAAUGGGAUCUGGGCCAGUAGUGCAAGCUGAGGACAGCCUGCUGGGCUGAGUAGGCAGAGCCAGCCCAGCAGUUGUGAGCAAAACUUGGUCAGAGGCGCCACUGGUCACAGAAGUUUCUGGCUGGUGAAGUGGCACUGAAAGAAUCCUGUGUGACUUUGCUCAUCUCAGUUACUCAUUCUGUGGCCACAUCUCAGACUAGCCUUGGGGAUUCCCAGUAGCUGUGCCUGCAAUCCUCAAUUUCAAGCAGUUGUCUGACCACCACCUCCUAUUUUUCCAGCUCACUACUUCUAGUCCCCCAAGUCUAAUAACUCUUUAAUUGGCCAGGAUCUGAAUCUACCGUCCUCCCACCUUCCGCUGGUCCCCUCUUCCCUCCUUGAGCAACCUCAAUGCCACAGUCAGUCAUAAUAACCACCUUCUCGCAUUUGCAACGCCCUUAGUCUGCUCUCUUCUUUACACUCUCUUGGCAAAACCUGAACGCUGAUGAGAAAUAACUCUUCACUCUGCACCUGCACUCGUGCAGUUGAGCAUCUCUGGGGAAAACAUACAGUUGAAUGGAGUGGUUUUAGAUUCAGACCCUGAACUUCACGGGAUCCUCAGUGCCGCCUGGCAGGCAGGAACCCUUUCCCAAGCACACUGCUCUCUCUGCUAAAACUCUUUCCACCUCUGUCUUCUUCUUCUUUUUUUUUUUUUUUUUUUGAACUUCACGGGAUCCUCAGUGCCGCCUGGCAGGAAGGAACCCUUUCCCAAGCACAAGGCUCUCUCUGCUAAAACUCUUUCCACCUCUGUCUUCUUCUUCUUCUUUUUUUUUUUUUUUUUUUUUGAGACGCUCACUGUCACUCUGGCUGGAGUGUAGUAGUGCGAUUACAGAUCACUGCAGUCUUGACCUCUGGGCUCAAGGGAUCCUCCUGUCUCAGCCUUCCGUGUAGCUGGGGCUACAGGCAUGUGCCACCGCACUCUGCUAAUUUUUUAAAAAAUACUUUGUGGAGACAGAGUCUUGUCAUGUUGCCCAGGCUAGUCUUGAACCGCUCGGCUCGAGCAGUCCUCCAGCCUUGGCUUCCCAAAGUGCUAGGAUUACAGACAUGAGCCACCAUACCCAACCUCAGCUUCUUAUUUCAGAGAAAUCUGUAAAGGAGUAAUCAGAUGAGAAACUGUGCAAACACCUGCAUGUCUCCACUCCUAGCUUUGGUGCCCCUUGACUCUCCCUCCUGUUGGGUGAAUGAGCUGCCUGGCUCCUCCCUGAAGCUGGUUCCUCCCCUUGUGCUCCAGAGCCCAUUCCCUGAUUUCUAUUCAAGGGUUUCACUGCGACAAGUCUCCUAUCUUGCAUCAAGUUUUCUCUUUCUUUCAGUAACGCAUGUCAGCAUACACACCUGCUGUUAUUUCUGCUAUCUUAAAAAAAGAUUUUUUUUCUUAAAAAGAGACUUUUGUGAGUGUGUGCCAUGGUAGGCUUAAAGUAACAGGGUCCCGCCCAUCUAACAUGCUGUAAUAAAUGUGCUGGAGCUGAGGACCUGCGCUUAGCUGCUCCAGGAGUCCUGGAUGCCUCUCAUACCAGUCAAGAGCAGGCCCAUCCUCUUUCCUUACCCUACUGCUUCUGUGCCCACAGAAGCCCUUCACAUCCUGUCUCAUUCUGCCCUUUGUUCCUUUUCCUUUGGUUGACAGCUCCAGGACUUCAGAACAUUCCCUAUGUUCUCACCAAACAGCUGCCAGGCAGCCAGGCUCAGUUUUCCAAGUGGGUUUUCCUGUACUUUAUUUUCGUAUCGUGCUGUCCCCAGGCAGCCAAAGCAGGAUGAACAGCAGGAGAAGAGAGCCAGGCCCUCUCCUGGAACAGCCUCCUGGUCUUCCCUCAGCUGUACUUUUUUUUAUUGUCAGAACACGUAGUUUCAGAGCUUCAGGAACAAGGCAGCUUUGUGAGAAGCAUAUGCAAGAAGGGACAGAUUUCUGACAUUUCCAUAAAAGCACAAAGGCUUGUUUUGUUCAGAAUCAAGGUUGGAGAAGUAGCUGGUGGAUAAGAAGUAAUUGACGAGAUGGGCUUGGGGUAAUUAGCUUGAUUCAAUUAGCAUGAGGUGGAACUGAGUUACCCAAGCUAGAUGUCAGCUCAGCCCAGCCACCACCCGCCCACACCAUCUGCACUCAAUAAGCAUUUAUCUGUUGGAGCUUUUUCUGCACAUUCCAAGGUCGCUAUCAGAAUCUGAAUCCCCUGUUCUGAUAAUGCAGUGCCUAGAGCCACGGCCUCGCAGCUUCCCUCCUUCACCUCCAAUCUUGCUUCUUCCCGCCUCCACUUGACCUCCCAUGAUCCCCCUCCCAGUCAUCACCUAGAGGUGAUGCACAGAGUGGCCGACAGAGUGAACUCCAAGGGCUGGCUUCACAUUCCUACAUCCUAAUUCUUUAGAGGCAGGGCUUUUUUGUGACUUUAAACAACAAAAUUGUUCCCCAUUCAUUAACUUAUUGGGGAUAAAAAGAGUUAGAGGUGAGGUGAUCUGAGAUUCUUCUAUUAAAUGGUUUGGGGCUUCAGUUAAAUCAUUGUUUCUUCAUCUGUCAAAUGGCAGUAAUAACAGAGGCCCAACCUCCACAGGGAGCUGCUAUAACAACAACAACAUAAAAAUCCCCAAGGGGUACCCGUGAUGUUGGUUUCAUGUGUCAAGCUGGCCAAGCUAUAGUAUCCAGUUAUCUAAUCAGGCACUCCUUUAGGGGGUGUUGUGAAGGCAUUUUAUAGAUGUGGUUAACAAACCAGUCCACUUUAAAUUAAGAAGAUUGCCCUUGCUGAUGUGAUUGGGGCUCACCAUCCAUUAGCUGAAGGCCGUAAGAACAGAACUGAGGUUUCUGGGAGGAGACAUUCUUUCAAGACUGCACUGCCAACUCCAGCCUGAGUUUCCAGCCUCCUGGAAGCCCUACAGAUUUCAGACAUGCAGUCCCCACAAACAGAUAAACCAAUUUCUUAAAAUAAAUCUCGGUGUCUCUAUAUCGUAUUGGCACUGUUUUUCUGCAGAACUCUGAUUGCUACAGUACUGACUGAUAUAGGAAGAUACCUUCCCGAUACAAGUCCUUGGUGGGGAGGAAGGGAGAUUGAGAACCACGUGAAGGUAGUUUUAUGCAAUAACUCCAUCCCAGGCUAUGCCAAUACCCAAGGCUGCAGGAGAGAAGCAGAGGGCUGUUGGGCUCACAACCCAGCACAAGGUUGUGGGGGGAAGGGACACCUCCACAUCCUGCUGAGGUCCUCUCUGACUAGGGGCUGCUGGCAGGUAUGGCUCAAGGAAUGAAGUCGCAGCCUUGGACUAAAUAGGAUCAGGGUGGAGCUUGGUACAAAGAGGGAGGGGCUGGCUAGCACUGGCAUACAUUGCUUGAGGGCCUACUAUGUGCACGCCCCUCUGUAAAGCUGCAUUUCUUCUUUCCCACACAGCUGGCUUGGUGAGCCUCUAGGGGUGGCCAACCUGAGCUCCUGCAUUCCUGUCUUUCCAGCAGGAGUUCAAGCUGCCCCUGAGCACAAAGGCCCUUCCUGCCCAGCUCCUGGAGAGCCUCCCUCUGC
RNAcentral lists this long non-coding RNA (4212 nucleotides) under Homo sapiens (human). Its description in RNAcentral is "non-protein coding lnc-WDR91-4:6". Lineage: Eukaryota; Metazoa; Chordata; Mammalia; Primates; Hominidae. The record is from RNAcentral.